UUCCAGCUCCAAUAGCGUAUAUUAAAGUUGUUGCGGUUAAAAAGCUCGUAGUUAGAUUUCUGCUAGGUGCGAUCGGUCCACCCACUGGGUGUGUAUCUGUGUCGGCCUUGGCACCAUCCUGGCGAACGCAACUGCACGACUUUUACUUUGAGGACAUUAGAGUGUUUCAAGCAGGCGCACGCCUUGAAUACAUUAGCAUUGAAUAAUAAGAUAGGACCUGAGUUCUAUUUUGUUGGUUUCUGGAGCUGAGGUAAUGAUUAAUAGGGAUAGUUGGGGGCAUUCGUACUUAACAGUCAGAGGUGAAAUUCUUGGAUUUGUUAAAGACGGACUACUGCGAAAGCAUUUGCCAAGGAUGUUUUCAUUA
Molecule: ribosomal RNA, 364 nt
Filed under: Polykrikos sp.
Lineage: Eukaryota; Dinophyceae; Gymnodiniales; Gymnodiniaceae
Description: partial small subunit ribosomal RNA
Rfam family: Eukaryotic small subunit ribosomal RNA
Source: RNAcentral